Molecule: ribosomal RNA, 879 nt
Filed under: Triticum aestivum (bread wheat)
Lineage: Eukaryota; Viridiplantae; Streptophyta; Magnoliopsida; Poales; Poaceae
Description: partial small subunit ribosomal RNA
Source: RNAcentral
AUGGACAUGGCACGCUACGUUGCGUUCCACCAGCAGUGGAUCGCGGGCCAGCAGGCGGGCCUCCGCGAGCUCGCGGAGGCGGCAGCCAAUGCCGCCGCCGAGCGCGCCACGGACGCGGAGCUGAGGGCCGUGGUGGAGAGGUGCAUGCGCGGGUACCAGGAGUACGCCGCCAGCCGGCGUGCCAUGGCGCGCGAGAACGGUGCGGCCUUCGUCGCCCCGCCGUGGUGCACGGCGUUUGAGAACUCCGUGCUCUGGCUCGGGGGCUGCCGGCCGUCGCUGGCAAUCCGGCUGCUCUACUCCAUCUCCGGCGAAGGCCUGGAGGAGGACAUCGAGGAGUUCGUCAGCGGCCGCGGUCGCGGCCUCGCAGAGGAGAUGGGCCUCAUCGGGAUCACGGCCACGCAGCUGCAGCAGAUCAAUGAUCUCCACCGCUGCACGCUGCGCGACGAGGGUUACCUGACGGAGCGCCUCGCGAGUCUGCAGGAGAACAUCGCCGACCGGCCGCUGCUUCCGAUCGUCCGGGAGCGCGCCGCGGCGGCGGCAGCAUUAGUCGGCCAGGGCCGGAGCGCUAAGCGCGACGACAUUGCCGGACGGCUCGCGGCAGCAGAAUCGUCAGGAGGACUCGCGGCCGAGGUGGACGCGGCGAUGGAGAGCUACUCGGCCGGGCUGGCCAGGCUCCUGGAGGAAGCGGACGAGCUACGCAUGUCGACGGCCAGGGCACUGGCAACGGAGAUAUUGACGCCGCGGCAGGCGGUGGAGAUGCUGGUGGCAGCCAAGCAGCUGCACCUGGCGGUGCGCGACUGGAGCCGCCGGAAGGAGGAGGGCGCCCAGAACGCGCGUCUGCCGCGCGCAGCCGCAGCGACGACCGCCCCUUCCGGCUGA